Molecule: ribosomal RNA, 465 nt
Filed under: uncultured bacterium
Lineage: Bacteria
Description: partial 16S ribosomal RNA
Rfam family: Bacterial small subunit ribosomal RNA
Source: RNAcentral
GACGAACGCUAGCGGCGUGCUUAACACAUGCAAGUCGUACGGUAAGGCCCUUUCGGGGGUACACGAGCGGCGAACGGGUGGGUAACACGAGGGUAACCUGCCCACAACUUAGGGAUAACGCCAGGAAACUGGAGCUAAUACUGGCAAUGUGUACCUGCUGCAUGGUGGGGGUUGGGAAGCUCCGGCGGUUGUGGGUGGGCUCGCGGCCUAUCAGCUGGUUGGUGGGGUAGUGGCUUACCAAGGCGGCGACGUGUCGCCGGCCAGUGAGGGUGACCGGCCACACUGGGACCGAGGGAAGGCACAGGCACCGACGGGAGGCAGCAGGGCGGAAUAUUGCACGAGGGGCGCAAGGCUGGUGCAGCAGGGCCGCGGGCGGGAUGACGGCCUUCGGGUUGAAAACCGCGUUCAGCAGGGACGAAGCUUUUUGUGACGGUACCUGCAGAAGAAGCACCGGCUAACUACGUG